GUCAUCGGCGCGCGCCAGUCCUGCGGGAACUUCACGGGGGCGGUAGGCUCAGGUGGCGCGUGACCCUGGGACCGCUCUGCCGCGCGCGGCCAAGGGACUGAUCUUUGAAUGGGAAGCUUCAAACUUUAAAGAAGAAGCCUUCAGAAUGGCUUUGAAGAAGACAAGCUAGACACUGCUUCAGGGCACCGCCUUCAGAAUGCAUCUCGCCUGUCCAGGGGCGUGCCUGGUGAGGAGCUCUUUGAAGGGUUCGUUCCGCAGAGGGCCAGAGAGCUGAUGCUCAUGGAACCAGAUUGGUGGCUUUGACUUUCUGGAACAAUCUUGCUUUUAUUCUAUUCUUUCUGAGAGGCUGGAGGUACUGAUGGGACCGAAGGGCCUCCAGGGAAGGGAAGCAGCACUUUCAUGCUGAAUGAAAACUAGAUAAGUCACUGCUGGCGACUGAAGACACCUAAACGCCCCACAUCCGGAUUCAGCAGACUGGGGACCCGGAGGAAUUGCCACUGCUGGGGAGAAUAAAGCCAGACUGGAAAAGAAAACCCAAAUGAAGAGAAUGAGGGCCGUCGGAGAGUAAAUGGCGGCCUCCACCUCCACAGAGAGCAAGUUGGCCUCCUGGUGGAACUAUUUUUUCCUCUAUGAUGGUUCCCAGGUGAAGGGAGAAGGAGAUCCAACCAGAGCUGGCAUCUGUUACUUUUACCCCCCGCAGACCCUGCUGGACCAACAGGAGCUGCUGUGUGGACAGAUCGCCGGGGUUGUCCACUGCGUUUCCCACAUUUCCGGCGCUCCUCCCACCCUUGUCCGCCUGCGGAAACUGAAGUUCGCUGUAGAGGUUGACGGUGAUUACCUCUGGGUGCUGGGCUGUGCCGUGGAGCUCCCCGACGUCAGCUGCAAGCAGCUUCUGCACCGGCUCAUUGGCUUCUUUCGUUUUCACAAUGGGCCCGUGUCUCUGGCCUGCAAGAGCUGCCCGCGGGAAGAACUGCGUGCCGAGUGGGACACGCUCAUUGAGCACAUCCUGGGGAACACGGGUGACCUGCACAAGAUCUUCAACUGCCUCUGGCACCUGGAUCGAACCAAAGUGGAGCCCCUGCUCCUGCUCAAGGCGGCCCUCAUCCUGCAGACCUGCCAGCGCGCGCCCCAUGUGCUCGCCGGCUGCAUCCUCUACGCGGGACUGAUCGUCAGCACCCAGCUCCCGCCCUCCGUCACGGCCAAGGUCCUGCUUCAUCGCGUGGCACGUCAGGACCAGAGGAAACCUACGGGAGGGGACGCCCUGCAGGAAUGUGGAGCUGCGCUCCCUCCCAACGUUCAGAUCAUGCCUGUUUUCCUGACUGAAGAGGAAGCCGCCAGUCUCCGCGAGUUUCCCCGGGAGCCCCCGGCCAGCGCUCCGGUGCCUCCAGCCAGACUCCAGGAGCCUUCAGCCGCUCCGAAAGAAAACGCCCCCGGACACGUGGGCUCCAAGGCUCAGACCUCGAUGAUCACACCUGAACCCCCAUCUCCUGAUGCCGCCUGGGCAGAUGGCAGCGGGGAGAACGGACACUGGCCCGGCCCUGACCUGAAGAUCACGCUGCCUGCAAUGUGGCACUGCACUGCUGAGGACAAGGGUUCGGGUUUGUUUGGGGGGAACGGGGACCUGGACUUGUCUGAAAUCCAUAUCCCAGAGGCUCAGAAAACAGAAGCAUCCCCGGGCCAUCCUGCUGCAGAUGGCGGGGGUCCUGGUUGUGAGCAAUCUGUCCACAACCCCGGCAGUCCCGGAGCCAAGCCGCACGGGGCCCUGCCCCUGGGCCGCCUCCCCGCCUCUGCUCCUGAGGUGGUCCCCCAGAAUGGAGCCCUCGAGCAGCCCGCAGACCUUGCUGGCAAUGGUGGCCAAGCCCCCGUCACCAGGGAAGACCACGUCCCCGGCAGGACGAGCGGGCCUGGGCGGGCACCUUGCUUGGAUUUGAGGCAGAGGGGCACUGAACUGCCCCUGGAGGAACACGGUGGAGAGCAACACCGCAGUGGGGCUCCCGAGUGCUUCUUGACCCCCGGCCCGGACUCCACAGACCCCUCAGACGAAGGCCCCUCUGCAGACAGAACCGCGUCCAGGGUGAGCCUGGCCUCCUGCGAGGGGCUCGUGCGGAUGAACCUCUACACGCACAGCGUCAAGGGCCUGGUGCUGUCGCUGCUGGCCGAGGAGCCGCUGCUGGGGGACCGCGCAGCCGUGGACGAGGUGUACCACGGCAGCCUGGCGUCCCUCAACGGGCUGGAGGUGCACUUGAGCGAGACGCUGCCCCGGGACCAAGCAGCCCCUGCGGCCAGAACCUACAGCUUCGCACACUACGACCGCGUCCAGAACUUGCUAGCAGCCAACCUGCCGCAGGUGACCACGGCGCAGGACCACCGCUUCCUCCAGGCUGUCAGCCUGAUGCAUUCCGACUUCUCCUGGCUGCCCACGCUGUACGAGGUGACCGUCAGGAACGCCUCCACGGCUGUAUACGCCUGCUGCAACCCUGUUCAGGAAACCUACUUCCAGCAGCUGGCCACAGCGGCGCGGAGCUCUGGCUUCCCGAACCCGCAGGACGGUGCCUUCGGCCUCCCAGGCAAAGCCAAACAGAAGCUGCUGAAGCACGGGGUGAACCUGCUCUGAACCGUGGGUCGCUCCUGACCCUCGCGGUGACUCUCAAAUCAAACCCCAGCAGAGGAAGUGCCGUCUUGUUAAGUGGAAAGCACCUCUGUUUUACUUUCCCUGGAAUAGUCCUCUUUUUGGGGACUGCAGUUUUUGAGUGUUUGUUACUCCUUCUGUGGAUCAGGGCUGGAGGGGGUUGUUCCUCGGGUUGGCAGACCUAGAGCUUGUGGUAAAGAACUUGACAGCGUGGGUGGUGCGGGGGCCAGGGUGGGACCACGGCUCUUUCCACCCCAGGGGCCCGGGUCAGUGACUCCCCCAUUACACAGAGGCCAGGGCGCCCGACGUUUCCUGGGGCUGCUCCACCCCAGCCUUGACUCGUACACGGAGACUGAGGCUGGUGUCCUUCUAGAACCCCACUGUCCCUGGUCUAGAGUGCAUGUCCCUUGCUGUCUGCAGGGGGUGGGUCCGAGGUGACUGCAGAGCCAGGAGACAGGUCUGUCUGUCUGCAAGCACACCGUGCACCCACUUCUCAGGCUGUCUUCACCACGGUCCUCCUGGGGGAUCGGUGCACAGGAAGCGGUCGGGGAUGCUGAGACUGCCUUGUCUGGAUCUUCUGGAUCACCCACGGUGGGGAAGGGGCGAUCUCAAUGACACGAAAGGAGCCUGGGGCACCGGGACCCGGAGGGCUGCUAUUGGGCUGAAAACACGUAAAACGCAGAAUCCUGGUUCCUAGAGUCUGCGGUCAAGGCAGCCCAGUGCCUCCCUCUGAGCGGAGUCUCCACGUCACAGGAAGAGCGUGAGGUCUGCAGAGCAAAGUGUGGGAGUAAGCCAACAGGGACUCGCCUGGUGGUCCAGUGGGUUAAGAAUCCGCCUUGCAGUGAGGGGUAUGCAGGUUUGAUCCCUGGUCGGGGAGCUAAGACUCCACACGCCGCAGAGUAACUGAGCCCGUGCGGCACAUGACGCCUGAGCCUGCAAGCCACAGCGCAAGUCCGCACACAACCAGAGACCUCGCAGGCCACAACUAAGACCUGACGCAGCCAAGUAAGUAUUUUAGAAAGUCCGGAAUUUUUCUGCUACAAUUUCAGGACCUGACUCUCGCCCUUGAGUGAGGGCUGGAUGGAGUGCUUCGUUUUUAAUGACCAGAAUGUUGCCAAGAUGCCAGUGUGGCUUCUGAGGGUAGGUCACAAAACAUCGCAGCUGCCACCUCUCUCUUGGUCCACCUAUCGUGGGGAGAUGUCCCGGGGGUGGGGUCUCCUGCCCGUGGCCGUGUGAAGUGAGCCUCUUGGAGACAGGUUGCCCGGCCCCAGUGGCCUUCACCAGACAACGGCAGGUCCUGCCUGUCCUCAUCUGAUUCAGCCCUGAGAAAAACAGCCAGAACCAUCAAGCCAAGCCACUUCAGAAUCUCUAGCCCUCAGGAAGCAUGGGAGAUGAUAAAUGUGUGUCGUUUUAAGCCGCUCUUGGGGUCAUUGAUUACAGCAAUAGAUGGUGUGUAUGCGUGGUGGCCCACAUCUCACCCGCCCACCAGGCUCCUUAGCGGCUUGGGCCCUUAGGCCAAAUGCCGGAUAGUCAGUCCAGAUCCCAGCCGUGCCCUUCCCACCUGGAAGACCUACGCCACACAAGGAGGGGAGAAAUGGAGCACUCCCUCCCCUUCCUGCUCAUUCCUGCUGGAGCAUGCCCGCACCAGGCAAGUUGCCGAGGCGCUGGGCGAAGAAGCCUUGAAACGGCAGUGGCUUGAUUUGCUCCUCGCUGGAAACGUCCCUGGCUCCCGGAUAGGCGAGAAGCACGGCAGGAGUGGAAACCUCCCCCCUCC
RNA transcript from Capra hircus (goat), 4403 nucleotides. It is a transcript of the gene named HPS4, biogenesis of lysosomal organelles complex 3 subunit 2, with no coding region annotated. The record is from RefSeq and is a predicted model, not a curated record. Lineage: Eukaryota; Metazoa; Chordata; Mammalia; Artiodactyla; Bovidae. The transcript is spliced from 15 exons.